RNAcentral lists this ribosomal RNA (640 nucleotides) under uncultured bacterium. Its description in RNAcentral is "bacterial SSU rRNA". It matches the Rfam family "Bacterial small subunit ribosomal RNA", at positions 163 to 817 of the family's 1533-position model. The record is from RNAcentral.
CUAAUACCGGAUAUUAUGAGAUUCUCGCAUGGGAAACUUAUGAAAGCUAUAUGCGCCAAGAGAGAGCCUUGCGUUCCAUUAGCUAGUUGGUGGGGUAACGGCCCACCAAGGCGACGAUGGAUAGCCGGCCUGAGAGGGUGAACGGCCACAAGGGGACUGAGACACGGCCCUUACUCCUACGGGAGGCAGCAGUGGGGAAUAUUGGACAAUGGGCCACAAGCCUGAUCCAGCAAUUCUGUGUGCACGAUGAAGGUCUUCGGAUUGUAAAGUGCUUUCAGUUGGGAAGAAGAAAGUGACGGUACCAACAGAAGAAGCGACGGCUAAAUACGUGCCAGCAGCCGCGGUAAUACGUAUGUCGCAAGCGUUAUCCGGAUUUAUUGGGCGUAAAGCGCGUCUAGGCGGAAAAAUAAGUCUGAUGUUAAAAUGCGGGGCUCAACUCCGUAUUGCGUUGGAAACUGUUUUUCUAGAGUACUGGAGAGGUGGGCGGAACUACAAGUGUAGAGGUGAAAUUCGUAGAUAUUUGUAGGAAUGCCGAUGGAGAAGUCAGCUCACUGGACAGAUACUGACGCUAAAGCGCGAAAGCGUGGGGAGCAAACAGGAUUAGAUACCCUGGUAGUCCACGCCGUAAACGAUGAUCACU